GACAACUUUUAACGGUGGAUCUCUUGGCUCGUGGAUCGAUGAAGAACGCAGCAAACUGCGAUACGUAGUGUGAAUUGCAGAAUUCAGUGAAUCAUCGAAUCUUUGAACGCAAAUGGCGCUCCUGGUCCUGCCAGGAGCACGUCUGUCUCAGUG
Molecule: ribosomal RNA, 153 nt
Filed under: Sycon ciliatum
Lineage: Eukaryota; Metazoa; Porifera; Calcarea; Leucosolenida; Sycettidae
Description: 5.8S ribosomal RNA
Rfam family: 5.8S ribosomal RNA
About the family: 5.8S ribosomal RNA (5.8S rRNA) is a component of the large subunit of the eukaryotic ribosome.
Source: RNAcentral